UGUAAUUAGUUAAUGAUUGUGUCGUUUCUUUUGGCAAGGCAUCCCUCAACUGAUGAAACAGUCUUCUAGUCACUUACAAAAUACAUAUGUAAACAAUAGGGAGAGCAGCAUUUGGAAGGCACAUGAUGAUUCUUUAUUUUCCAGCACAUUAGCACAUUAAUAUGUGUGCUGCUUUUCCAAAGAUAGAGUAUGAAGGUAAUCUUUGUUCCAUAAAACACCAAAAGAAAAUCAAGUAUUUCAUCCUUCUGGUGAUGGUUAAGGAAAUAAAACUUACAUGUGAAUGAUGUCUUCCCUGCAUUUGGAGAAACUAAGACAUGUUCAUCUCCAGAGAUGGGCAGUGGAGACCAAGAGAAAUCUAUACAAACAAACCUUGUUAAAUUAACCUUUAUCUUUCUAGUUACUAGUUACUUCUUCACUAUUACCUGUCUUAGACCAGAUUCCUUUGUCUUGUUACAUUUUCAUAAUUUACUACUCUUUGUUCAACCCUGUAUAUAAGUGUUCGGCUCUGUUUCUUUCAGUCUUUAAUAUAUCCUUAGAACCCACAUGUACAUAUAAAAUUUUCCUGAAUAAAAUGUGUAUGCUUUUCUUCUCUUCAUCUGUUGAGACCAGUUUAAUUUUUAGGCCCAGCCAGAAACCCUAAUAAGGUAGAGGAGAAAUUUUUCCUCCCCUGCUUCAUACACUCACUAUCUCUACAAGUAUAGGCACUUUGGUAGAGAUGUUUUAGAAACACACAUCACAGAGUCACAUGAGAAAGAAGGGGAGCGUUUGGAUGAGCACUUUUACAAGAAUAUUAGAAACUAUGGGGUUGUAGUUGAGGAAACACCUCGAGGAGGUGAGUGUCAACCCUGCACAUCUCUAAAGAAGACAAGGUCAGGUAGGAGAAUCUAGAAGUAGGAAUGUGCCUGGCACAGGCUUCCUGGUAGUAAAACACAGGGAUUUCUGAAGCUUAGUGUGAUGUGAAUCAGUGAACAAACUGCUGAACAAUGUAUCUUCCUUUAAUAAAAUAAUGAAUUUCUUGGAUGUGCUUCUUGAAAUGUAUCCCAUUAUGCUUUGUGGGCUUAACAUUAGGGAACAGUUCCUUAGGAAUAGUUCUAGAAUCACCCAAAUAAUGCUGUUCAAGGACAGUGAUUUCUCAUUGACCAUUUUCAUGUAAGAUAUAAUUUAGCUUACUUGGAAAAGCAGUGACUCACCUUGUUUCAGGGAAUCUGUGUACCUAGAUUGAUAUAUGCCAUGGUUUGAAUGUCCCCUCCAAAACUAGUGUUGAAAUGUAAUUGCCAUUGUGAUGAUAUUGAGAGAUAGGACUGUUACGAGGUGAUGAGGCCCGGAGGGAUGACACAGCAUGAAGGCUCUCAAC
Cercocebus atys (sooty mangabey) is the source of this 1354-nucleotide long non-coding RNA. RefSeq lists it as uncharacterized. The transcript is spliced from 3 exons. The record is from RefSeq and is a predicted model, not a curated record. Lineage: Eukaryota; Metazoa; Chordata; Mammalia; Primates; Cercopithecidae.